AAAAUGAAUUCACUUUUCCACGGCACCAGAGGACCAUUAGUAAAUUCAUUGCCCAGAAUACCCCGCUGGUGUCCUGGAGGAUGGAUUUGGUGUCACACGGUAACAUAGAUUAAUGACGAGGACAACAACAACAAUGGCAACAACUAUCAAAUCCUGGCACAGAGGAAGAUACUCCACGCACGUUGUGUCACUUAAUUUAGCAAAAACAGUGUGAGGCUGACUCAUAUAAGGUGGUACAGCUUCCUCCCCAUUCACUGGAACACUCACAUUGGGAGCCUGGGGAAGCCACGUAGGAAGUCUGACCAGCACGAGGCCGCCAUGCUGUGUGGAAACCCAAGUCACACUGUGAGGCUCUGCGUAGCUGCCCCGGUUAACCAUCCCAGCUGAGCUCAGCCUGAGUCACUCGCCUCCAGACACCAGACAUGGGAUUGUCGGUUCCAAGUGCUUCUUGCCGUCUUACAAAGGAAACCUGCUGAAUCAUCAGUGGUGGACAAAUACCGUGGCUGGAGCUGACGUUUGAUGGUGUUCCUGGUGGAGGAGGCCACUGUCCGUUCAACCUUUAGGCCUUCGUGGAGGGUCGCAGUGUUGUUGGAAAGAUUGGAUCAGCUCACAGCAUCCACAGGGCUCAGUGACCGUCUCAUUUAGACGUCCUCUUUGAAAACACAAGUGUCCUGUCAAGGAUUCCUACAACGCACUGAGAGCGCAUCAAUGAGCACUUCCCCGUCCCUGAAUGAUAAUUAAAGCAAAGAUUGACAGAAGGAAGUAUCGAGGGGCAAGGGAGAGAGGAUCUCGCAGGAAAUGGGUGAUCGCGCCAAAGACCUUGACUUCCUCACCUCCCAGCUUUGCCUGGGCUCAGGCCUUCAGGGGAAACUACGGUGUAUAGAGAGUUUUCUUUAUCUAAUCCCUUCUAAGGUACAGACUUUUCCCACAUUUAAAGAUCUCUGAUGUUUGAAUUCAUUUGACAGUUUAUGUCAUUUAUAAAUACAAUUGUUUCUUUGGCGUCUAGGAAAUAAGAGCACAUCUUGUAACCAAUGACAUCCCAGUUUUGAUGAAUACAGUAACACUUUUUAUAAGGACGACAGUUUCAGGAGUCUAGGGCCUGCCCUGGGAUCUCAUCACAGCUAUUGUCCAAAACAGUAGCCGCUCGCCCGCUGUGGGUUUUGAGCGCUUGAAAUGUGGCUGGUCCAAAUGGUGAUGUGGUGUAGUGCAAACGCUCGUCAGAUUCUGAAGAACUAGUGCAGAAAAAAGUAACAUUAAAACAGCUCACUAAUACUUUUUUCAUUCAUUAAAUGUUGAAAUGAUAAUAUUUGAGAUAUUGGGUUAAAUAAACUAUAUUAUUAAAACUGAUUUCAUCUGUUUCUUUUUACCUUUUUAAGGUGGGUACUAGAAACUUUCAGUUUCCGUAUGCAGCCUGCGUUACACUUCUGGACAGUGCUGUCACCGAAUGAGGAUCUCAGAGAUUGUCUAUUGUGACCACCCUGUAGAAACUGGAUGGACCUCAACCCAAAAUUUGGCUCAGAUGUUGAGACUGAUUAUGUCACAUAUCAAGAGGAGAUGAAAAGGUUUGUUAUUCAUGCAAUGAGGCUUUCGGGGGAGAGCAGAGUCCAUCCCAGGCAGGUCCAGAAAGAGCCUGAGGGAGCAGGGAAAGGAGAUUGGCUUGGGAUUUUUCUGGUGGUAGGGGGUGGGACAGGGUGAGGGUUCCCGCGUGCUGGCAGAGCGUGAGUGACUUGAACCUCCCUGAGGGCACACCUGGGCUUUGCCAGAGGUGGGGCAGAACAGGAAGAGGGAAGGGUGAGGUUAAAAGCUGUCAAUUCUAAAUGCUGACAAUAAAAGAUUCAGACUUGUACAUUAUCUAAUCCUGUGCCUUCAUUUUACCAAUGAGGACUCAGACACAGAAAGGGAAGGUGACUUGCCUGAGGUCACACAGCCAGCUUGUGGCAGCACUGGCACUGGAAUCCAGGCCUCUGGGGACCAGAGAUUUUUCCUCUCCCUCAUAGUGUCUCAUGGAAAGCCACCUUGGAGGACAAGAAGAUUCUUUCUCCAGGAGAUGGUCUUUGUGUUUUGUGGAUCUGCUGGGAAGGAGGAAAUGCUGAAAGCUGGCGGUCAGGUGCUGCCUGGGCCCCCAGGGACUCUGGCUCCUAGAGCAGCCCCAGGCCGACUUGGCUGAUGUUUGCUGACAAGCUGGCUCAGGAAAGUGACUUGAAAAGUAAAUACUAACUCAACACAAAAUGAAAAGGAAACGAAGAGUCUGAAAAAAAACCAAAAACACAAACAAAUCCGUGAGAAGAGAGUGGGCAUUGUGCGCUCCCUCUUUUUGACAUCAAAGUGUCUUUGAAUGGAGCCAGGAAGCUCUCACAUCUUUAAAUCCACGUUUACUUGAGGUUUGAAAACUUCCAAGAGAGGUUAGCAGUCCGGGGACAGAGGGCUCCCACUGCACCACAGGAGCAGAGCUUAAAUGCUUUACAAAGAAAAGGGAACACACUCGUUGGGGUUUGUUUUAAUCCUUCCAGGAGAGUGGUGUGGAGUGUACAGCAUGCAUUUGGAAGCCCGAGUACUUAAACACACAUCUGGGAAGGUUCAGAAUCUUCGCCUGGUUCUCGGUGUCUCUGAAGUGUUAGUAGUCCAGUGUCUUGUUUAUUGUGCCACACAAAAAUAAAUCUGAAUCUGUUUUGAUUUUUCUGAUUCUCUUCCACUCUGGAAGUAGAGCAGCCUUUUUGGUGGAAGUGACUUGCAUAAAGUCUCAAAUAAUUACCAAUUCCAGCUGACACUCGCUGGGACCCUGGAACUCGCUCCAUCUGCUGCCUUCCAGGAAGAACAAAGGAUGGAAGGAGUUGCUGGAGAACCAGAGAAAGAGCGCCUCCUAUAUUAUGGCCAACACAGAGAAUUCCAUAAAGAUUUGCAUGUGGAGUCAGCCCACAAUUGUCUGGCGAAUGGGAGAAGAUAGAUAUGAAAAGUAAUUUUACCAGACCAACUUAGACGGCAGUUCUGGGAUGCACCGGUGGAUUCUUGGUCCAGACGUGGAACCUGUUUUUUAAGUUCAAGAUGAGUUUAACCACAACCCAGGUGAGAUCGACGGGCAGCCAACAAAGGAUGGCUCAGCCCAUCCAAUCAAAAGACGUCAAAGCUAGACCAUGAGGAGGUCGAGGGAACUACUCCAAUAAAAGUUCAUGAAGGCCCUUGUCCAGUUUCCAGACUUGAGCCAGUUUUUGGACAGAACCUGUUGACUGAAGGAAAGGCAGAUUCUCCAGGACGAAGGAACUUGCAACACCACGCAGUCCCCUCCAGCAUCGACUCUGAGCUUGGGAAAAUGGAUGUGGGCAGGCAUGAUGCAAGCAAAGGCUGAGAAGAGUCUGCACGUGGUGGCUUGUCUUCUUGGAGUGCUUGCUCUGGGGAUCUGUUAGCCAUGGAAAGAAGCUCUAGGUAGCCACAUGAAGAGACGACACGGAAAGAGAGGCCCCAGCCUGCCAGCCCUCCCUGCUAAUGUGCCCACCACAUGAGCGAAGCUGUCUUGGACAUUCCUGCCAUCUGACUGCAUCUGCUUGAGAGACUCCAAGCAAGACCAGCAGAAGAACGAUCCAGUUCAGCCCUGUGAACCCACGCGUUGGUUCUAAGUAAUAAAAUGGUAGCUGUUUUAAUCCCCCACGUUUUGUGGUUAUUUGUUAUUCAGUAACAAGUAG
Molecule: long non-coding RNA, 3677 nt
Filed under: Equus caballus (horse)
Lineage: Eukaryota; Metazoa; Chordata; Mammalia; Perissodactyla; Equidae
Description: lncRNA (ENSECAG00000055163.1)
Source: RNAcentral